RNAcentral lists this ribosomal RNA (292 nucleotides) under uncultured bacterium. RNAcentral's name for it is "partial 16S ribosomal RNA". It matches the Rfam family "Bacterial small subunit ribosomal RNA", at positions 505 to 796 of the family's 1533-position model. The record is from RNAcentral.
UUGUCAGCAGCCGCGGUAAUACGUAGGGGGCAAGCGUUGUCCGGAUUUAUUGGGCGUAAAGAGCGUGUAGGCGGCCAGGUAGGUCUGCUGUGAAAACUCGAGGCUUAACCUCGAGCUGUCGGCGGAAACCAUCUGGCUAGAGUCCGGAAGAGGAGAAUGGAAUUCCCGGUGUAGCGGUGAAAUGCGCAGAUAUCGGGAAGAACACCCGUGGCGAAGGCGGUUCUCUGGGACGGUACUGACGCUGAGACGCGAAAGCGUGGGGAGCGAACAGGAUUAGAAACCCUGGUAGUCC